CCUGGUAGCGGGGGAUAACUAUUGGAAACGAUAGCUAAUACCGCAUAACAGUAGAUAUCGCAUGAUAGCUGCUUGAAAGGUGCAAUUGCAUCACUACCAGAUGGACCUGCGUUGUAUUAGCUAGUUGGUGAGGUAACGGCUCACCAAGGCAACGAUACAUAGCCGACCUGAGAGGGUGAUCGGCCACACUGGGACUGAGACACGGCCCAG
RNAcentral lists this ribosomal RNA (210 nucleotides) under uncultured bacterium. RNAcentral describes it as "partial 16S ribosomal RNA". It matches the Rfam family "Bacterial small subunit ribosomal RNA", at positions 129 to 334 of the family's 1533-position model. The record is from RNAcentral.